GUCGAACGGAACUUGAGAGAGCUUGCUUUUUCAGUUUAGUGGCGAACGGGUGAGUAACGCGUGAGUAACCUGCCCUGGAGUGGGGGACAACAGUUGGAAACGACUGCUAAUACCGCAUAAGCCCACAGCACCGCAUGGUGCAGCGGGAAAAGGAUUUAUUCGCUUCAGGAUGGACUCGCGUCCAAUUAGCUAGUUGGUGAGGUAACGGCCCACCAAGGCGACGAUUGGUAGCCGGACUGAGAGGUUGAACGGCCACAUUGGGACUGAGACACGGCCCAGACUCCUACGGGAGGCAGCAGUGGGGGAUAUUGCACAAUGGGGGAAACCCUGAUGCAGCGACGCCGCGUGGAGGAAGAAGGUUUUCGGAUUGUAAACUCCUGUCGUAAGGGACGAUAAUGACGGUACCUUACAAGAAAGCCACGGCUAACUACGUGCCAGCAGCCGCGGUAAAACGUAGGUGGCAAGCGUUGUCCGGAAUUACUGGGUGUAAAGGGAGCGCAGGCGGACCGGCAAGUUGGAAGUGAAAUCUAUGGGCUCAACCCAUAAAUUGCUUUCAAAACUGCUGGCCUUGAGUAGUGCAGAGGUAGGCGGAAUUCCCGGUGUAGCGGUGGAAUGCGUAGAUAUCGGGAGGAACACCAGUGGCGAAGGCGGCCUGCUGGGCACCAACUGACGCUGAGGCUCGAAAGCAUGGGUAGCAAACAGGAUUAGAUACCCUGGUAGUCCAUGCCGUAAACGAUGAUUACUAGGUGUUGGAGGAUUGACCCCUUCAGUGCCGCAGUUAACACAAUAAGUAAUCCACCUGGGGAGUACGACCGCAAGGUUGAAACUCNAAGGAAUUGACGGGGGCCCGCACAAGNAGUGGAGUAUGU
RNAcentral lists this ribosomal RNA (869 nucleotides) under uncultured bacterium. RNAcentral describes it as "bacterial SSU rRNA". It matches the Rfam family "Bacterial small subunit ribosomal RNA", at positions 61 to 942 of the family's 1533-position model. The record is from RNAcentral.